GACGAACGCUGGCGGCGUGCUUAACACAUGCAAGUCGAACGGUGAAGCGCCUUCCUUUUUGGUGGGUGUGGAUGAGUGGCGAACGGGUGAGUAACACGUGAGUAACCUGCCCCCUUCUUCUGGAUAACCGCAUGAAAGUGUGGCUAAUACGGGAUAUUCUGGGUCUGUCGCAUGAUGGGUCUGGGAAAGAUAUUGUUUCGGUGGGGGAUGGGCUCGCGGCCUAUCAGCUUGUUGGUGGGGUGAUGGCCUACCAAGGCGGUGACGGGUAGCCGGCCUGAGAGGGUGGACGGUCACACUGGGACGGAGACACGGCCCAGACUACUACGGGAGGCAGCAGGGGGGAAUAUUGCACAAUGGGCGCAAGCCUGAUGCAGCGACGCCGCGGGAGGGAUGGAGGCCUGCGGGUUGUGAACCUCUUUCGCCAGUGAAGCAGGCCUGCCUCGUUUGUGGGUGGGUUGACGGUAGCUGGAGAAGAAGCGCCGGCUAACUACGUG
RNAcentral lists this ribosomal RNA (494 nucleotides) under uncultured bacterium. RNAcentral describes it as "partial 16S ribosomal RNA". It matches the Rfam family "Bacterial small subunit ribosomal RNA", at positions 28 to 507 of the family's 1533-position model. The record is from RNAcentral.